RNAcentral lists this long non-coding RNA (28200 nucleotides) under Musa acuminata (dwarf banana). Its description in RNAcentral is "long non-coding RNA (MACU_LNC004915)". The record is from RNAcentral. Lineage: Eukaryota; Viridiplantae; Streptophyta; Magnoliopsida; Zingiberales; Musaceae.
UUUGCAUGAGCUCGUAGCUUCCUUCUGCUGUCACUCCGUGUGCAAUUCCUUCUACUGUCGAAGGAGAGGACUGUAGGUUCCUUCGCCAUCGAAGGACGCCCUCUGGAGCUUCUGCCACUACCGCUGUAGUUCGCAGCGCUGCUGCGACUGUCUUAAACUAAUCCUUCGCCGCUGUUGCUGCCAGCUUCUCAUGACUGCCUUCUCACCGCUGCUAUUGCCACUUUCCACUGUCGGUGACCCUUUAUCCCCCUCUGUUAUUGUUAAUAGUUCUUUUCUCCCCCUCUAACUACUAUUAACAGUAGAUUUUUAAUUUAAUAUCAUAUUUUUAUUCAAAUAAUCAUAUUUAUCAAUUAUGUUAUAUAUUUUUAUAUUUUUAUAUUUCAAAGCGCUUCACUUUGUUCGGGCUUUUGCCUAGUGCCUCGGCCGUUUUGGGGCCUUGACACCUUUUGGCGCUUAGCGCUUUUUAAAUCACUAGUUAUAAGUCAUCUCUUAUUGAUACUUAGAGCUGCUUUGGUAGGCAGCUUUUGGUUGAUAAAUAAAAAAAAAGAUUGCCAUGUUGGAACAUACCUUUUGAAACGAUCUAAGCAAAAUACCAUGGCACCUUCAUUUUUAUUUUAGGUAAUGGGCACAAUGUGGCACCUGGUUAUGUAGGCUUGUUGAAAAAGAAAUGGCCAAUAUGUAAAAUCAUUUGUAUCUGAUAAUACACUAUUAUAAAUAGGUAAAAUGACAUAAAUUCUCAAGUAUUCCAAUUAAUGGGCAUCAAUUAAUAACAUGUCAGUCAAUCAUAGUUCACAUAUAAGCUUGUCAACUUUUGUCUCCAAAAGUAUGUCUUUGGACUUUGGAGCAAUGUUAUCAGCCAUCUGUUUCUUACUACGGUAUCCAACAAUUGCAUUGUUCUAUGGCAUACAAAUGAUCUAAGUAACCAGAAAUAUUGGAAUAUUUAGCAAUUGCAUCGUUGUGUGACGUAUAAUGAUCUAAUAGUUUGUAACUAGAAACAUUGGAACUUGCCGUUACAAGAAUUAUUUAUUAUGCAAACAAAUUAUGUGAACAUUGACCAAACUAACUUGAUCACAACCAUAAUAUAUAAAACCUAAACAGGACCUACCAAGUAUCAUCAAGAAACUAUCCUUCAUUUCUGAAUGAAGCAGGCUUGCAGUUGCUGAGAAAGGCAAGCUAGAGAUGAUAUCAGUGUUGCUGUUGGAGAGUUUCAUCUGACCUAUCUUGCCGCCCUUGGAGUGGAGCAAGAGAAGCUCCCAUAGGAACCUUUACAGCAGGAGAUUUUUUGAGCUCCUAUACAAAUCUUUGUUUCUUUCUUUCCUUUUCCUUUUUUUUCAUUCACAACUGUCUGUUGUACUUUUUUCAAUCUCUUAAUCGAAUGAUUUAGCAGUUGCUUUGCCCAUAAAGGAAUGUUAUGCUAUAUGUUGAUCCUUAUACAAGAUCUAAAACAAGGUUUUACCUUAUGUUCAAGUCGCAUGUUUAUGCCUUUCCACAGACUGGUAGUUGUGGCUUUCUGUCUGGGGAUUUUGACAUUUGUAUGAAUGAGUUAUUUUUGUAAUAUCAUUAACUUUCACCUAGUCUCACAUAUUACUGAAAAGUUUAUCUUCUUGUAUUUGUGCCUAUUUAUCAAUAUUAUAUUUUGUUGCAUAUAUAUCUAUACUAUAUUUUGUUGCUUCUUAUGCUUGGUAACAUCCAAAUGUCAUACCUCUUUGUUGUCUAGGUUGAUCUUGUUGUACCAUUUCUUGCAAUGCAUUUCUCACCGAAAAUAUUCAGUGCUCUACUUAGAGCACAGGAUGUGUUGUCAGAACAAAAAUCUCAAGUAUUUACAGAGGGCAUUUCGUAUGUAAAUGAUAUCAGUGUACACAAUUGGCCUUCCCUCCAAUUUUCUGUGUCUGCCAUGUUGGACAAUUGGAAAUUCAAUGUCGACCUUGAAGAUGAUGCAGAAAACAGUGCAAUUAUUUCCUUUACUUUCGAGAACCUAUUCUCUAGGUUGGUCAUUUAAUAUUUGUGUAUUUCUAUUUUUUUUUGUCCAAUCUACAGAAUUUCCUUCUCAAUUGCAGGUGUGCUCUGGAGGACUCUAUGAAGUUUUGGUUCCUCACAAAGAUGUUGACAAUAGAUUACUGUUGUUUCAAGGAUGGCCCAAAUUGUAGUACAUUAUGCUCAACAAGAAAUGAAAUAGGUGGCACAAUCAACACGAGUGCUGACCAUGUUGAUCUCAGCAUAUCAGAACUGCCUUCCUGUGAAAGUCCGAGGCAUGGUUGCUUCGAGUUGCAUUACCAAGCUCAAGCAUCUCAGCAGGAAUGCAGUCUCUGCUUAUGCGAUGUCGAUCUCCAUAUCUAUCCUAGAAUUUUUGGUUUGUUGCAGAAGUUUUUCAGCAAACUUAAAGCGCAAUUUUCUUCAUCUGACACUUCUGUCAAGUCCUUCAGAUUGAUUGAUAGUAACAUGGAAAUGAUUGACAAUGGGACUUCUAAGUUUGGUUUCUCCAACUAUCACAAUAUUGAGCAUAAUAUAUUUGGCAAAAUUGAUAUAGACCGAUUUGUUCCCGUUAUGAAAUCAGGUUGCUUAAACAGUCUUGAAGGCUCUAUGAUCUUUGAUGCUCCAGAAUUAAACAAUCUGUGUGCUAAGAAAAAUGAAUGUCCUAAAGGUGUGAAUUUAAAUUUCAGGCAAGGGCAAACAGUGAAGGAUUCUGUUAUGACUUCACCCACAUCUAGCAGAAUGGCUGAACCAUUCAUGAAUUCUGAUAAUAAUUGUUUUAGUAUGAAAUUCUCUCUGAAUAGGGUUAGAGUAUAUUUUCAUGAUUCUUCUUGCAUUUUGGCAACACUUACAGUGCCUACAUCUAUAUCUUGCUUCAGAUUUUGUCAAAAUGAUUGUUGGGAUUUAGUAUCAUCUAUUGAGGGGUUAAUGCUUUCAUCAUCAUGGUCUUGUCCCAACAUCCAUGAGCUUCUAUGGGGACCAUCAUCACCAAGCAAUCUCUCUGUAGUGAAUCUUAGUCUAAGGAAAGGGAAAAUAAAGAUGAUGCUUCCCAUCACAGAAAUAAAUAUCAGCAUUCAGCAUGUUUGUUGCAUCAUUUCAUCUGAGUUUCUAGCAUUGUUGAUAGGUUAUUUUUCUUUGCCUGAUUGGAUACUUGAUGGAAAUGAACAUUUGAGCCAUGAAAUUCUUGAGUUUGAGAAUUCUCGGAAUGAACAAAAUGAUUUGUUAUACAAGUUUGAACUGGUUGACUCCACUGUGCUUUUACCUCUUGAGAACCGUGAGUAUUGUAUACAGGUUGGAUUUCCCCAACUAGUUUGUAGCUUCAUCCCAAUGAGUAGUUCAGCAGAUUCUUUUACGGAGAUUCCUUUUGAGUGCAUGAUAUCAGGAUGUAUGGAUUCUGAGAAAGUUGACAUUGUUAAUGUGUUUGGAAGAAGUGCAUCACUGUCUCUUUUGUUUAUCAGGAAUGACAAAAACUUCCUGUUGAAGCUUGAUGAAUGUAUGUCUAACACAAGUGUCCCUCUCAUUACACAACUGGAUGCUGAUUUAUGGAUCCGAAUACCUUCUACCACAACAGAUGUUUCCCCACAAUCUGUUGUGCCUUUAUUGAUUAUGAUGAGUGUCAGUGUUUGUAACUUAAUUGCUCGGGGUAUGUCUAUGCUUUAGAUGCUUCAUAUAUAGACCAUUGUUUACCAUAAUUAAUUCUCUUAUGUAUUUGCUUGUUCCUAUGUUGUUCAGAUGACCACCUUAUACAUGGACUUGAAGCUGUUAUUGAUGCUGUUGAUCAGUUUUCACUGGUUCUCAAAAGAUCUGAAAUGUACAAGUCUGAUAUCAUGCAGUUUUUGCAAUGCAAGAGAAACAUCAAGGAGGAAGAUGUUGUUUCACUUAACAUCUCAAGCCAAUUUUUUGUUAGUGUAAGAUGUUGCAUAAAGACUCUAUCACUAACAUUCUGUCGCUUCAGGGCAGAAGAUUCUUCAUCUGAGAUGGUUGCAAAUGCAGAAAUGCAAGUUAAUCUAUCUGCCAUAAUGAGAAAUGAGGUGCUACAAUCUCUUGAUGUGAAUAUUCCAUGUGUAGUUGUACGCUCUUCUAGUAGAAAUAUUCUGUUAAUAUCUUUCACACCUGAAGGUGCUAGUUCUUCCCAUCUUUGUUUCAAUUUCUCCAGUUGCAGUGCUGAAUCUGAACUUCUGGUCACUGUAGCUUCUCUUGAUCUUUGGUUACACUUGUCAGACUGGAACAAUAUUUUUGAACUUCUUCAGUUCUACAUAACACACUUGGUCAGUACUCCAAUUUCUUCCAGUGCAGAUCCGCAGUCCGGGUGUCAUUUUGUCUUAGAUCCUGCCACGCCCACUUGUUUUGCAUCUGAAUAUGUUGUGCAGGAAAAUAUUAGUUGGAAACUUAAAUCAGAGAAUAUAACAAUUUCAUUACAUAUACCUAGCUCAAGUGAUGGAGAGCUGAUAGAUUCUGAAAUGAUUGAAAUAGCUAACAAAAAUUCUCAGGAACAUACCUGCAAUAAUUUAGUGGAAAAUAUGCCACCCUUCAAGGUAAAGAAUUGCAAUUUUGUGAAGAUCACUGUCCAUAGUAAAAGUUGUGAGAUGAUCAUAUGUGAAGGUUGUGUGGAACUGAAAUGUAAUUUGGAAAAGAUGAGGGUUACACUAGAGAUGGUUCAAAAUUAUGAUAUCACUUCCAUUCCAUUUAUGCAUGUAUCUCAGGUGAAGGCAGGAGCUAGUCUAUGCAGAAAGCAAGGGGAGUUGGUUUAUAUAUCUUCUGAGAUUAUUAUCGAAUCUUUAGACAUUGGAGUUUCGUAUCAAGUUUUAUAUUUCUGGAGUUGCUAUAAGUUAAGGGUUCCUGAAACAGCAUCAUCCCCAAUAUUUCGCCAUUGUUUGGCUUUUAAAGUCCAUUUCAAGAAGGGCUCUCUUCUUUUGAGUGAUGGAAGGGUAUGCCAUUGAACUUCGGCUUUCUAUCUUAUUUGUUGCUUGGCCAUGUUUGUUUAAGUUUCUGAAUUCUGAUGUGACUGAAGAUAUGUAUAAUGUGUACCUUAAAUAUUUCUGAUAUGGUUUACAAUAACAAGAGACAACUUCUGGAUAUGACUGCAUAGCUUGAUGACUGCUAUGAACACUUAUCUUGGCCAUAAAUGCUGUCAUAAGUUGGAAUGUUUUGUGUUGUCUUUUUUCAUUUGGGAGUGAAUAUCUUGUUUGCCGAUAAAUUCUCUUUUAAAAAAUUUCAUCUUCUUUUGUUCUUCACUAUAUUCUUAGCUUUCAAAAAUUAAUGUAUAAGCAUGCAUGAAUUCAUGACAACAAUUUUUCUAGCCGCAAGCAUGUUUUCUGUAAUAAUCAUGUAGGCCACCACUUUUUUUCUUAUUUGAAACUUGUUUCUAAUGGUUGCCAUCUAUAGGGUGAGUUGGUUUCAGCACUGAUGUUGAGAAAGUAUUUUAGUAUGCUGCUGCAUAGUCAAGUAAAUUCAUUGCGUUUUUUUUUUUCAAAUUUAACAGAAAAACGUUACAUGUUUAUAUGGUCUUUCUUUAUCUGGAGGCUGAUGUAAGUUUUACCCAAAGAAUAUGGUUUCUUUCCUACAGAAAUAAUAAAUGAUGUGGCUUUCAUUUCAAUGAUGCAGGAAGUAGGAACUUGUUAAAAUCCUUUCAUUUUCUGAGCUUUUGAAUAAUGUUUAUUGAGUCUGUUUAAUUCAGUUAGAAUCGGAUAGAGGUUUAUUUAAUAUUUUAUUUAUUAUUAAGAGUCCAAGUCCUGGUAGACUCUAGGUAGAACUCUAUAAAUAGUGAUAUAAUCGUUUCUUUUCGGCAGACAAUGAAAUAUUAUUAAGUCUUUUGACUAACCCUAGGAGGUCGAUCCCCUCGAAGUGAUCAUCCCAUUUUCUCCCCUUUCUUCCAUGAUAAAACCCUAGGGUCUUAUCAGAACUUCCCACUCUUACAAUGAAUUCUUUCAUAACAGCCAAUCACCUAAAAAUAUUUGGUUUUAGGUGGACAUAUCAAUUUCCAGUCAUGUUUUUUAAUUUGUCACCAUUUAGGAAAUGUUAAGAAGCUUUGCAUAUUAUCUCAAUUGGUUCGUCAUAUAUAAUGGUAUUUUCUAGGUGAAAUGGCAAAUUUAGAAUCACAGAGAAUUGAAAAGAUGAAAUAGGCCAAGGUUUAUAAAGAAAGGAUGUCAUGUUGAAGAUCCUUGCCAACAAUCGUAUUAGACUUUUCCAACAAAGUUGCAUAAGGCUUAUUUUAUCCAGAUGUUUUUUCAAGAUCGAAUUGAAGUAGAGUUUCCAGUUCUUAAAGAAUAGGCAAUAUGAAAAAGGUCCUAGUAUGCCAGAUAAGGGUGUUCAACUUCCAAGUUAGCCAGAUAUUCUUUUUGCAGUAUACGGAACGAAAGAUUGUCAUCAGCAAAUUGUAAGAAAGGAACACCAGAAUAAUUGGGGAAGGUUCACAAUUCUCUUAUUAAGCCGGUCUCCUUAUCAAAAGUGGGAAACCUGAGUGCAGACCUCAAGAACAAAAAGAAGAGAGGAUAGUAUCUCCUUUUACCCAAGGUUGCUUUUAGGGCAAACUGUUUUCUGAUUAUUAGGAUACAAUGUUACAUUGAGGAUUUUAAGCAAGUUAAAAGCUCAAUCUCAAUCAUCUAAUUCAGUUAGGUCCAAAACCUUUAGUUUUGAUGAGAUACUGAAAUACCAACCUUUUAUAUUAAAAUUUUCUUAGAGUGUAGCAUCAUCACUAGGCUUUUGAAGUCAUACCUGGCACAAAAGUAAACAAUUUCAUGGGCCAUAAUGAAAUAAUCAGCUAGGCAUCUUCCUCUAUCAAAUGUCACUGCAAUAGACGAAAAAUAUCAGAGAGAAUUUUGAAAAGUUCAGAAUCACCGUCCUGGUAAAAACUUCAAAAGAUCAAUUUUCAGAAUUUUUGUCUUGAAUUUUAGCUCACUUGACCCCUUGAACUCUUGGAAUGAUAGAAUUCAAUGCAUAAUUAAGAGUUUAAGACUACUUUGUUCUUAGGAUUAGUAUUCGAAUUGCACAUUCUAUGUUAGCCUGACAAUGAAAUGUUACGUUUUAUCAACAUGGUAUUACGGCAUGGCCGCAUUCUGAUACAAUUUUGCCAUGAGGGCAAAAAAGGUAAAUGAUUCUGAUACAACAUUCUGAUACAACUUUGCUGUGAAGAAAGACUAGGAAAAUAAAUAUAUAACGUGUCAAGACCAAGUUCUAUGGGAUUUCUCUCCUUGUGUGUACAGGCUCCUAUUACAUGCAAAUGCGCAAACAAGUCUCAAACUAAACCUCUUUUCUUCUGUCCAGUAGUAAAACCUCAGCCUGAAUAACUAACUUAUUCUAAUAAAAUAUAGCAAGUGCUAACCUAUUUCAUGUGAUUAUACUCUGUCAAUUGGUUCAAUUUUUUGGACUUACUCAACCUUUUAUCUUAUAUAAAAAGGGAAUAUAAGCUAUUUAAUCUAUCCCUGUUUUUUUUAAUAUAGACCUAUGUAAAUGACAUGACCAUUUUUGCUUGCAUAUUCUCCUUUAGUCCUUUGAUGUCUUUUGAUGUACCUAAUUAUCAGCACUUGUGGUAUUUACUGGGAUCAACUGGUGGUAAGACCAAUGGCAAGGUUUUUAGUCUUGGAAUUGGUGCUUGUACUAGUCCCUUGGCAGAUUAUAUGGUACACAAUAUGCUGGUGUAUUAUAGUACCAUCUGGUACUGAUCAAAUAAAAUAAGAAAUAAGAAAACCAAAAGGGUGGAAAAUCUGGCAAUAAAUUAGGAAAAUUAGAGAAAGAAUUCCUGUAGCCUCGGCCUAUUUACCUAAGUAGCACCUAUCACUGAGCUGUAUCGUCUACCUUCACUGUCUCUUCCUCUCCUCACUUCUCCAUUUGUCUGUGAUCCUACCACAAUUUUGAGGUCCCUAAGUCCUGAGUUUUGACUUCUUUAAGCAUACAAGGGGUUCAUGAACCAGUUCAACUCUACUCAUUUAGCGCUAAAAUGGGACUAGUCUCCUGUAUGUCAGCCUGGUUCGAAUUAGUCAAUGUCCUAUUCCAUACUUGGACCAAUGCAAACCCAUGCAAACCAAGCUCCCAUGCAAACCAAGCUGGAUGCCAUGAGUUUCAAUUUUUGGACUGAGACCUGUAUUGGUCCUUGACAGGAUUGGUAUGGUCUGGUACAUAACAGCAUACUGGCACAUGGUCAGUGUACUGAUCAACAUGAACCAAAGAGAAAGAGGCAGAGAAGAGGGGGUGGAGGAGGAGGAGGAGAAUGAAGAGGAGGAAGGAGAGGAAAGCUGCUGUUGACAGGCUGAGCGGUUUAAGAAAGAAGAAAACUUAAAAAGGCCAGUUUCAAACUGGUCCAGGCGAAAUUGGCUGAGUUCUAGUUCCUGGUUGGACUGAUAAAUACGUGUUAAUUUGUGCCGGUCUGGCCAGUUUUUUGAACCUUCCGUUUACCUAUGGGUACCUCGCAGGUGUAUGGUCUAUUGAAGCAUUGUUGAUUGUGAGUAUCUGGUUGAUUGCCAAUCGCAUGUUUCCAAUGUGUGAACUGUGAACUAUUCCUUAUAUGUAACUUAAUUGGCCUUUAAUGAAGCAGGCAAUCCGGCACAGCACAUAUCAUUGGACUCUUGAACUUCUCAUGGUUGCUGGGAGGCUCGUAUGAACGAGAAUUUAGAUCCUAGUUCUCUCUCCUGCCAUUCAUAUCUAUUAUAUUAAAGUAUGAUGAUUUAAAUUGUAAUGGCUACAUUAGGAACUAUUAACACACAAGUUCUUCUCGCACGCACCUUGUCUAACACCCACAAACUUAACAAAUGUUAAGUGACAAUUCUUGCAUCAUUUUGGCAAUCAUUGAUGGGAUGGUGCUGGGAAAGGGAUGUGACCAUAUCAAUGGGCUUAUAUGCGUUUGGGAUGGGAAUUGACCAUAUCACAUGGGUAGGUGUUCAACUAUGUGAUUGAUCAAGUAGGUGCCAAAAGUAUGUUUCCACAUUAGAUUGUUUGCAUAUAUCAUACUAUGGAGUUGGUUGAUCAUUUUGACAUUAGUUCUAUGGUCAUUACUUUGUUGUUGUAAAAGCCUUGUCCAGUUCUUGCAGUAGAAAUCAAUUAAUAAUUAUGAACUUAAAUCUUGUUAGAACUAUGUUUGAUACGGCUUCAGUUUCUCAUAUAAGUUCAUGUAUCUUUGACGUAGUGGAGCUAUCAUGGACCUAUUCUGGAGACCUUAAUGAAGAACAUGCUUAUACAGUUCAAUCGAACAGAAGAUGUCACAGAGGGUUCAGCUGUUGCUGAUCUGUUGAUUAACUACAAUAACAUUGAUAAGGUAUAUUAAAGAGACUUGUUUUACCAUCUUAUGUUGUCUUCAUAAUAUUUUGGUAUACUUUAUGAGUAAAUUCUUUGUAGGUUAUGUGGGAACCUUUUCUAGAGCCAUGGAGUUUUGAGUUGAAUAUGACAAGAAAAUAUGAAGGGUAUAUCUUGAAUGGAUAUGCAGUUACUGAUGUAUAUUUGAAGUCGACAAAGCUACUUAAUUUUAAUAUUACAGAACCACUGGUUGAGGUACAAAUUUACUGUUCUAGUAAUUUAUCUUUUUGUUUCUACAUCAUUACUACAUGAGGCACCUAGGAUGUGCGAGGGAGUUAGCUAUUUGGCAAUAUUUUUAAAUUUUAGUGCAAUUCUUGCUGAAUUUGAGUUUUUGCAUGUAUUUUUUAUUUAUGUUCAGAACAAUGCAAAAUCUUCCUCAUUGCUUUGUGUCUUAGAGUGGAAGUUGUUCAUCAGUCGUGUCUUUCAUUACCUUCUGGCUGGAUACUUUGGCUAGGGAAUCACAGUUCAACUUCGUGUGCUGCAACAUUCAUAUUAUUGUUUCUUUUUUCCUCCUAAUCUUGAAGUUCUGUGCAGGCUAUCUUCAGGCUAAAUCAUGUGGUUAAUGAUGCUACUAAUCUUGCUGAUGCAUAUGGUUUCCAAGAAACUCAUGGAAUCUUGGGAUUACAGACUACUGAAGACAUACGUAAAAGAAGAUAUGCCCCAUACAUUCUCCAUAAUGACACAUCUUUGCCUCUGGCAUAUCAUGUGUACCAUGGCCCAGUUGACAUGGAUAAUAUCCACAGCUUUCCUACAGAUGAUGGAAAUAUUGUUCAACCAGGUUUUUCUGUUCCCAUUUAUGUCGAGGAAAAUCUUAAUGAACAAUAUUUUGAACGCAGAGCUUCAUAUUCUUCUGAAAGGCUUAUAGAGAAAAAGAUGAGUGCGAUAGCACAUCAUAUGAUGUCUAUCCACUUUGAAGGAACUUCUGGGCCUUCAAGACCUAUGUCAAUGGACCUUGUGGGCUGUAGUUAUUUUGAGGUAAAUUUUUCUAAAAGUAAGCAUUCUAUUCUUGUUGAAGCAGAAAAAGAUGGCAAGAUAUUAGGAUGUAGUUGGCAGACUGAGGAGCAGUGCAAAAACGAACAUUGCAAGGGAUUAGUUGUUCCUGUCGUAUUUGAGGUUUCUAUGCAGCAUUACAGCAAGAUUAUAAGACUAUACUCAACGGUAGUAACUGCAAUUUGUUUGAUAUUAUUUUAUUGUUUCAUGCAAGAAAUAAAUUUGCUUUCUGCUCCAGGUUAUAGUUUUCAAUGCAACUUCAGUGCCCUUGGAGCUACGUUUUGACAUUCCAUUUGGUGUGUCUUCUAAGGUAAUGAUUUCUUUAUGAGUUAUCAAGUCACUAGCAAAAUAUAUUGAUUAAUUGGGUCUGCUGCUCACAGUACAUCAAUGCUAUUGUUUUCAGGGUAAUUUGCAUGAUUUUGGUUAAUUUCUAAUUUUUUUUUUCUUGAAAUCACUUAAUUCCAUUCAGAAAUUUUGCAUUAUAGCUAUGUACUGGUCCAAUUUAAAAUUUUCAUCUUUUAAUUCUGAUGUUCCUGCUUUCAUUCUCAUUGGAAGUCAGUUUAGUAGGAAUUUGCUCCAACUUCAAACUAUACUUGUAAAUGGAAAAGUCUGGAUAUUUUUUCUAACUUUUCUCUGUUUUAGGUCUUAGGACCAAUACUUCCAGGGCAAGAGAUUCCAUUGCCACUGCACUUGGCUGAGUCUGGCCAAAUUAGGUGGCAUCCAGGUGGCACACAUUACUUGUGGAGUGAAGCACAUUCACUAUCAAAUAUACUAUCUCAAGAAAAUAGGCUUGGAUAUUUGAGAUCAUUCGUGUGCUAUCCCUCUCAUCCUAGUAGUGAUCCAUUCCGUUGUUGUAUAUCUAUUCAAGAUCAUGGUCUGUGUUCAGCAGGUGCUGCAGAAAAACAUUCAUCAAUUAAUAUUCAUGAGACUGAACAACUUAUCUUCAAAAGUAACAAGUCAAAGUUUCCAAAGAAACAUGUUAUACGCCAUGUGAGGCUGAGUACUCCUUUGUUGGUGAAAAAUUAUCUUCCUACAUGUUUAUCCUUCAUUGUAGAAACCGGUGGAGUCACACAUUCUGUUUCUCUUUCAGAGGUUUGGUUAUAAGCCGCUUUAAUUAAUUUUAUCUGGAUACUGUGCUGUUUUCUAUAGUUUUGAACAUAUUACUUUUAUUUUCUAUAAUUAUAUUCUUACAGUACUUUAGUUUCAGGUCGGUACUGCUUCUGUUUAUCAUGUUGAUUCUGCACAUGACCUAGUACUAACUUUUGAAAUGAAAGGAUUCAGGCAAGUGACAUCAAAGUUUCCUCGAGCAGAAUCAUUCUCUUCUAUGGGCAGGUUAAAUGGUUCCUUCUACUUUUCAUCUGAAAAAUUGGCGUUCUAUCCUGAAAACUCAAGUGGUAGUAUAUUGUUUAAAAUGUUUGCCUUAAUACUGUUGAUAGAUCACAUAUGUUUUAUAUAUAGGCUGACCUAAUUUUUAAUUAUGUUAGGUUCUGUAUGUGUCACACUUGAUAAAACAAUGGAUGCAUCUUGUGGGGCAAGAGAGAUAUGCCUGUCAGUUCCCUUUUUGCUUUACAAUUGUACCAGUCUGUUUCUCACCAUCUUAGAUGUCAACCAUGAGGGAAAGGGAAAUGCUGUUGUUAUUCCUUCAAGUUAUUAUGAGAUUGAGCAUAAACAGCUUCUUGAUGGAAAGGAUGGUCUUGCCCUUAUAUCUUCCGAGUCAAUAUCAUCUUCUGAUCCCUUUCUUUUAGAUAAUAAUUUGGAGGCCAGAAAACAGGACAAUGUGUCUACAAAAAUGGAUUGCGAUCAAUCUUCAGUGUCUUAUGAAGUUUCUCAUUAUAGUGAAAUAGGUCAUAAAGUUGGAAGCAGUCCAUCUUAUUUGCCAAGGAAAGCUGGAAAGGAUGCUGGCUAUAUGCAUGAUGGAGGCAGCAGAAAAGCUAAGCCAUAUAUCUAUGGUCCUACUGUCCGUAUUCCAGCUAAUGAACUUCUGGUUAAGCUGAGCGCUGCAUUGUCAAAAUCCAGAUCUAGCACCAGUCACAACCAAACGUGGUCAAAACCAUUUUCUCUUGUUCCAGAAAGUGGGUCAACAAAUAUCAUUGUCCCUCAGCCAUUUGCUUCUGGUGCAUUUUUAAUAUCUGCUGCAUCAGUCCCUGUUGCUGGAGAGCUGUCCGGGAGGACAAGGGCUAUUACUUUUCAGCCUAGGUAAUUUGCAAAGUAAAAUAGGACAUAAUAUAGGGUGCACAGUAAAAUGCUAUCCAAAUUUUACCUCUUUGUUUUAUGUCAUUUAUAUUUUAAGUUUAAUGUUGCUUCCAUAUUCUUAUUCUGGUUGCUAUCUAUAAAACAUUUGCUGUAGCAAGAUGGAAGAAGGCAAUGAGCCUUAGUUUCAUUAAAUGAAUGACAUAAAUUUAACAAAGGAUCAUCAGAUGGGAAUCAAAAGCAGCUAACUGGUUCUUAUUCUGCAUGUGCUUUGGAUUGGUAACUUCUUCACACAGACAUUAAAUCCAUUAUAAGCAGCAACCAUGUUGCAAGCGCUUACUAGUGGAGUUGAAAAGACAAAAAAAGGUUUGCUUUUUCUCUAUACUAGAUUUGUAUGUUUAGGAACAUAGUUAAUUCAUAUUUCUGUGAAUAGGUACUUUUUGAUGAUCAUGAAAAUGUAAACAAUCUCCUGCUAUCCUCUAAUAUAUUUUAUUGUGAUUAAAGGCCUUCUGUAGGUGAUAGACCAUUCCUUUCUUUACAAUUGUUAAAUUUUAUAUGUUUUUCCUUGUUAAGUACUUUUAAUCAACAUGCAAGUACUGGUAAAUUACCAUACAGCUUUUUACCAAUAUAUUGGUUAAGAAAAUGUGAAAGUGCAUUUCUCAACCUCAAUUUUCAAUUAUUUCAGUAAUAAUGUGUAGUUGGUAUACUGCUCGAUAGAUCAUAUCAGUUAUCAUAAGUCAAAAUCAGUACUGGACUGGUAUAUAAAACCUUGUUUCUGAUAGCUUAAUGCACCCUGGUUAAUCUCUCUUUUUUUUUCCUUGCAGAUAUGUCAUUUGUAAUGCGUGCACUAAAGACUUGUUUUACAGACAAAAGGGAACUAACAUUUCUUACCAUUUGGGUAUUGGGCAACAUUCUCAUCUUCACUGGUCCGAUACAUCAAGGUUUCUGCUAUUGUAUUACAAUAUAACUUACUGUCUUUAGUGUAAUCACCCCAUUUACUGGUAUCCCAGUCUCUUAUGCUCUGAUUUGCAUGUAGAAUACUUCUCGAAAGUGAAAUAUAGUUAGUUUGGUAGUGUAUAUUCACAAUCUAAGCAUCAAUUUAAUGUCAUUUUCAGUUGAUUCAUAGACAUUGUAUAUUUUCAGUGUUAUUUUAGAUUAAUAAAUUUUUCAAUGCAAAUACUCAAUCAAGAUGUUGUUAAAAGGUAAUAUUAGUAAUCAGAGUUUGUGAAAUACCUCUUAAAUGGACAUUCGUUCCACUUCUUAGCCAUACUAGGAGUUAUAUAUUAUUUGGUAAAUUAAUAGGAAUUUAAGUCAUGGUAUGGGGGGAAAAAGUGUCUGAUGUACUGCUCCAUUGACUUGUAGAAUCCAAGAUGGCAUAAAAUUGUUUCAUAAGCAUGUUGAUUCCAGCAUGUUAUAUUCAUUAUAGAUGCAAAACUUGUCUAUUGAUGCAGCAUAAACUUCUGGAUCCUUACCACCUCAAGUUCCUAUAUGUUAAUUGGAAGUAUGUUUAGUGAUGUUCUGUUGACCUCCACUCUCCAAUGACUAUUUGAUAUUAAUUCUUUAUAGACAAGUAACUGUAGGUCUCACCACUUGACAGAAGUUAAAAUUAUUGUUGGAAGUUGCAGCUCAUAUUAUAUUUACACUUGUCAUGUUGGCACUUAUAUUAGGUAAAGAUUACUGUUAAACUUUUAAAAUCGAAGGCAAUUUUGUCGAGAAAGCAUAAAAAGAUUAUUGUCUUUGACCAAUGUCAAAGAUCCUGCAUGCUAUGGCCUCUAACAUCUAUAUAUAGCUAUAAUUCUUAUAACUGUUGUGUGCUCCUGCGGACUGAAUUUAGUUUGUUAGCUCUUUUUUUGGCAUUUUAGAUAUGGCUAUUUAAACUGCUCAUGGUUUUAUAGUCUCAUUCCAAGAUCUUAAUGUGGUUCGAGUUCUUCAACAAAAAAUAAUAAUAAUAACUUUUUUGUUAAAGUAUUUGUUAAAAUGUUGCUUUCACUUUCUUUCUUUCAGCACCUCAUGUAAAAUAUCUUGUUGAAUACUAAUUCAUGAGCAUUAAGCUGCUGCAGAGAACUACUCAUUGCCCUUCGAUUUGGUGAACCUGGUUCUCAGUGGUCAGGCAGCUUCCUUCCAGAUUGCCUUGGGGAUGCUCAAGUGAAAAUGAGAAAUUAUAUAACUGGUGUAUCGAACAUGGUUCGAGUUGAAGUACAAAAUGCUGAUGUGUCAAUAAGCAAAGAAAAUGUGAUCAAAAACCCCAGUGGACAUUCUAUGACACAUCUAAUUCUUCUAUCCGAUGACAAAACUGGGUUUAUGCCAUAUAGGAUAGACAAUUUCUCGAUGGAGGUAAUUGCUUCCUGAAGCAAGUUUAUUAUGAUUUUACUGGCCUCAUGGUACAAACGAUGUGUUAUUUUUAUUCUUGCUAACAUUUCUACUCAAACCAUUUUCCAUUCUUAUAAUUUGUUCAACUAAGCUUGUUCAUAUUUGCUAUUCCUUAAGGUUAAAGUUAUCUUUGUGAUAAGUGUAAGAUUAAAAGGACAAAAUAAAUGAUUUUGUGUGUUAUAAAGAGAUUUAUGUAGUUAUUGUGCAUCGAGCUAGUAUAGCAUGUGAUUUUGAUGUAAUGUAAAGAUGAGGAAGAUAUUGUUUGUGGAAUUAAAACAAGAUGGUUAAAAUGAUGACUGUCAAGAAUAUUGCUUGAUUAUGGUAAAUGUCAAUAUUUCAAAUACUGGUUGGAGUUCACAGAUGGAGACCUGAUUGAAACCAUGAAUUAAUAUUUAUAUGUUCUUAAUCAAGGAAUGCAUUUUCAUAUCAGACCUGUACCAGUACAUGGUCGGACCAGUAUAUACUGUCAGUAUUGGUGUAGCAACACUUGGUACACUGUUAUGUACCGGUUUGUGAGAAAAGGCUGAAAAAUUAGAAGAGGAGGCAGCAGAGCAGGGAAGGAGGAGAAGAGGGCCUAGAAGAAGAGGAGAGGCAGUGAUGCAGAAGGAUAGGAGGGAAGGAGGAGGAGAGGCGGCUGCACAGAAGGAGAGGAGUGAAGUAGGUGAUGGAAAAAAAUGAGGGGAGAAGGCUGCAACAGAGGAGGAAAGGAGGCUGUGGAGGAGCAGAAGAAUACCAAGUACCAACGCUAGGGCUGGUGGCAGCGGCACACAUAGGCAGUGAUGGAAAGCGAGAAACGAGGGAUGCAGGUGAUGGCUGACACAGACAUGGGGGAAGGGGAGAAUGCAGGAGAGGAUAACUCAGGGUUUUACUUUCUAUUUUCAAAAUUUAUUAAAAAACGGGUUGGGCUACUGCCUGGCCCAGGCCCAUUACCGGGUGUGAACCCGAUAGUAAGCCUGGUUCACAAGGCUUACCAAGUGGUAAGCCUGUAUUGCACCUGAACCGCCUGAAAUUGGGCUGGUCCUCAUGCAGGUCAGCAAUCAGACUGCUAAAUACUUGUCAUACCAUACCGAACCAGGCGGAAUUGCAUUCCUUGCUCUUAAUAAUUAAUAUGACUAAGUAUAUUGCCCUAAUGGCAGCAAAAGAUCCAACCAAUCGAUCCCAAAUAGUUGGGAUAUUACAGCUUGUUGUAGAGUGAAAAUCUCUGUGGCUGGACUUUAUGGAGAGAAUUCAUAUUGCUGACAUUCUUGUAAUUUGGGUUAUGCAGAAAUAUGUUCAGAGUCCGACUGCUGUGUCUCUCUUUAUCAUCCCCGCCUGUUUUUUUAUUCCUUUUAUGCCCAUUGUUUUCAUAAUAAACUGCAUUGGAUAGGCUUCAUCUAUUCUUUGCUCUACAAAGAAAGUACCAAUAUCAGAUAGUAAAAAUGUGACCAGGAUAGAAAAUUGAUCUUGUACCAUUAGGACUUCUAAUUUAUACUGCUGUAUUCCAUAUAUUUUGAAGCUUGGUAGAUUAGCCUUUUUGCAGAGACUCCUUUUUCAUCAAAUUCAAGUGCUGCCAUCAAUGAUUAGAAAACUUUUUGUCAACCAUUGCUUGUCCUAUACAAUUGAAAUAAUUCCCUAACAUAGGAACAUCUCUUUUAUAGAAGUAAAUUUUAGCUUCAUAUCAUAUUUCUCCCUCUGCAAGCUUCCUUAUAUAAAAAAAACUUGAUUGAAGUGUAUUAGUUAAUGUUGCUUUUGUUAUUCAGACAUUGCGGAUUUACCAACAUAAAUGUGAAUCAUGUGACACCACAGUACAUCGUUACACAUCUUACCAGUAUGCAUGGGAUGAACCUUGUUACCUUCAUCGUCUCAUUGUAGAGGUAUGAGCAAUGUCUUCUCCUUUUGGGCCUUGAGCUUCCAGUUUCAUCGUUAUAUAUGUCAAUGUGUUUUUUGUUAGGUUCCUGGUGAGCGAAUUUUAGGAGCAUACAGUCUAGAUGAUAUAAAGGAGCAUGCACCUGUGUACUUGCCUUCAACAACUGAGGUACAUGAAUAUCAUUUUUUGUUGAGAAUCAGAAUUAUUAUCCAUCUCAUCAGUUAUGCAAUUGAUAGCUCUCAUGUAUAAAUAACUGUAUUGCUGUUGUUAUGAUGUUCCUUUUCUUGGAUUGUAGGAAGUUGUGAUGUAAGUUGUUGGAAGAAACAUCCAAGUCAUCAUCUCUUUUGGCAUAAAUUUCCUUUGUAAUCAUUGUGAUUUUCUUCUUUCUUAGCUAAGAAAAACUUAGUCAUAUGGUCUGUUGGUUAUAUUCUUUGCAGAAACCUGAAAGAAGGCUCUAUAUCUCGGUACAUUCUGAAGGAGCAGUCAAGGUAUCUCUUGUUCUUCCAAGUUCUAUAGUCUGAUAUAGAAUUUUUAUAAGGUGCAUUACUGAAUCGCUGAAUAUUCUUCAUUCUCAUGCUACAGGUGCUCAGUAUCGUCGACUCAAAUUAUCAUAUUGUAAAUGAAAAAGAGGGGAACAAUUUCCUUGGAUCCAGGGAUAAAAAGGUUGUUGAUCAGAAGAUGGACUGUCAUGCUGGUUUCACUGAAGUGUUCACAUUACAUGUUCCGUUUCUUGGGAUUUCCUUGAUGAAUCCCACUCCUCAGGUAAAUGAAGUAUUUCUAUUCUUAACCAUGAUACUGUAUCGAUAGUUUCGAGUAUCUUGUCAUCAAGAGCUUAUUGUUUAUUUGAAGGAAUUGGUUUUCGCAUGUGCAAAGGACACAACAGUUGUUUUGAUGCAAAGUAUGGAUCGUCAAAAGAUAUCAUUCAGAACCUUAUCCCUUCAAAUUGAUAAUCAGCUGCCUGAUACUCCGUAUCCCAUAGUGCUCUCAUUUGACCAAGGACACAGAGGCCGAUCCACAAACAUCUUGAAAAGUGGGGAGAAUAAGUUAAAUUUUCAGAAAGAGACGAAUUUUGAAAAUACAAUUGAACCUGUCUUUUACCUUGCUGCAUCCAAGUGGAGGAAUAUGGACAAAUCAUUGGUGUCGUUUGAAUAUAUAGACUUAGGGUACUUUUCAGUUCUUAAUUUUACAUUUUUUUAAUAUGUGCAUUGAGGAUCUCAUGUAUUUAUGCUAUCUCUUUGUAGUUUGGCCCCUAUGUGUAUUGAGCUUGAAGAACAAAUACUAUUGAGCUUGUUCGAGUAUUUUAGAGCAGUAUCAUCAAGACUAGAGAACAUAAGCGUAGGAAAAAAUUUUGGAUUGUGUAACCGGAACUGCAGUUCAGAUGGGAACCUGGAUAAUGCUCAGGAUUAUAAUGGGAAAAAUGUGUUAACAGAGAGUGAAUUUAUUGGAACCGAAGAAAGGUGUGGAUUAUUGCCUUCUGUAUUUCCAGUUGGAGCCCCAUGGCAACAGAUUUAUCUUUUGGCAAGAAGGAAGAAGAAAAUAUAUGUUGAAGCUUUUGAACUGGCUCCUAUAACAUUAUCCUUAAGGUGAAUAUGUGAAGUUGCUAUUUACUGUUUUUCUAAGAUUUUUUUUAUACUAGAUAAUGAUGAAUAACAUGAGAAAAAUGCUAUAUCUUUUAACACAUUCAAUUUUUUCAAGGAAGAAUCUUCUUGUUAUCUUUAACUAAAAGUUCAUUGUUCUAAUGAUUAGCUUCUCAAGCACUCCUUGGAUGAUAAGGAAUGAAGUCCAUGCAGAUAUCGAAUCUUUAGUUCACAUCCCUAGUAACACACUUCAGGUAGCUAUGCUAUCUUUGUUAUGAGAAUUGAGUACUCCUGUAGACAUUUUCUGUAAGACAGAUUUGACAACUUUAUGGUUUAACGUUUUUAUUGGUAAAUCUAGAUGUGUAUUACUAGAUAGUCUAGAGCAUAAUAUGUAAAUAAUCACCUAGAUAUAUAGAUGUUACCUCAUUCUUAGAGGGAUUGGUAAAUUUAUAAGUAUGGUUACAAUAAAAAACAAAUAUAUGAUCCGGUCCCUAUUUUAUUUUCUUAUUUCUUCAUGUAUGCUUUCUCUCUGAUAUCCAAGCAUCAAUUUGUGAAUGAGAAAAGUUUGUUUUUCAUGUAGCUUUGUGUUUACUGACUGCAACUUGAUAACCGUUUUAAGCAAGGUUUGAUUUACCAGUCCGAGCCGGUGUGCCGGCUGUGCCGUGUCGCUCUGUACUGGUGUACCGACACAUGGUAUGUCGGUGCGUACCAAAGUUUCGACAAGGACGAAUAAGAGGUUGAAGAGGAAGGUCCGGUGGAGGAACAAAUGAGGAAAAAGGAGAAAGGAAGAAGAAGAAGAAAGAAAAGGAGAAGUGUAGCGAUACCUGGGAAGCAGCGGCAGCAGCAAAGGGAAGCAGUAGCAUCACAGCGGCAAAGAGGUGGUGCUGCUGCAGCAUCGCAACGACAAAGCGGCGAAGAGGCGGCGCCGCUGCAAGAUCGUAGCGGCGAAGUGACGAAGAGGCAGCGCGGCUUCCGCAUUACAGUGGCAAAUCAGUGAAGAGGUAGCGUUGCUGCAGCGCCGAAGAGGCAGUGCCGCUGCUUCGUACGCGAGAAGAGCCCUAUUAUGCUUCUUUUUUUUUAACGCUGAAAUGGACUGGUGCCCACCACUUUUUUAUUUUUUUAAUUAUUUGAAUGCAGACUGCCUGAAACAGGGUGGUCCGCGUAUCAGUCCACACCUGGACCGGUAUAUACCGCCCAAACCGUACCAUUUUGGGCGGUACAGCAAUCCCUGGUUUUAAGUAUAUUUGUGCUUUUGACCGUUGAAGAUUUCCUUUUGUUUAUAUGCUUGUCCUUAAAAGUGGUGAUUAUUCAAUAGAUUUUUUUUCUCUUCUGACAACAUAGUUCAGCACUGAUAGUUUGUUAAAAGGUGACUCCAGUAAAUAAAAAGAGUACUGUUAAUUGAACCUUAGAAGUAUUCAUACUGAGUUUGUUAUCAAGGGGAAAUUUUUGUACUGAGGAUAGUAACAUUAUGCAAUGUUUUGCUUAGAUGAAAACUUGAAACAUGAAGUGUUGAAUAUGCUUGAACAUAUACAAAAUGGAGACAAUAUUUUCUUAGUUGCUAGCACACUGGCCAUGUCUGACUUUCAAAGACUUCCAAUGAGUACCUAAGUCAUGUUUGUACCAUGCUGGCAGAUUGUUCAGAGUUCGACAUGAAGGUUCAAAUUAUACGCCUCCUUGCUUCAUCCUUAUUUCUUUGAAGUGUAAAUAGGCAUAUAUCUUUUUAAUAUAUGACAAGGGUCCUAAACAAAUGUUGUGUGCUAACUAACAUGAUUGUUCCUAGUAUUUAAGAAUCUACAAUCAGAUCAAUCUUUGUGUUUCAGGUUAAUCAGAGAAGCUAGGUAAUUCAUAUAAUUGGAAAUCUAGGAAGUGCAAAAAAGUUCAUCAUUCUCUAAACAACCAGCUAAACUAAGCUAUAAGAGUUUAACGAGAUAUGUAAGAUUAGGGCAGUAGGCUGCAUGAGGUUCCCUCUGCUGCAAAGUAUGGGGAUGAUCAAAUGUGCACAACCUCUCUCCAUCACAUUGAGAGGCAAUUUUUGCAAUUCAAACCCAUAAUGGCAGGUCAAAUAAAGAGAUGCCACUUAUGUGCCAGGGCUUUUGAACUGAUUACCGUGGAGAUCAAAACUGUCAACUUAAGAAAUUUUUGUAUGCAGAUUUUAUUUGUUCUCCAAUUCACUUGUUAGUUGGAUAAGAUGCUGUUGAAGUGGUUAACGGGAUAUAUCUAGUAUCAGUGAAAUUAUCAUUCUUGCAUCUGUGAUUCUCUAAGCAAGACAGAAGAUUUAUGAAUCCUGCAAAAUCCUGAUUUGUUCAGGCUUUGACCAGUAAAUAUGAUUCUACCUGUCUUAUUGCUUGAAAAUAUUCGGACAAUUGUUGCUUUGUUUUCCAGAUACUUGAAUUCGUGUAUACCUGUGGUGCCUGUUUAUAUUCCUUUGUAUUUUUUCAUAGAUAACUUUCAGUACCUUAUAUUCAUUUGGUUGCAGAGAGGUUUGAUGGCUCUUGUAGAUGUUGAAGGAGUGCCUGUUCAUUUUACACGACUUACACUAGCACAUCUUAUAGCUAGCCCAGAAUCAAUCCAAGAGAUUAUAACUAGACAUUACAUGAGACAGCUACUUCAUGAAAUGUAUAAGGUGAGUUAUGUAUAAUCUUUUACAGUUUCAGUUUACUUUCAUUUUCCAGUCCUGCUGGAGUGAAUUAUAAGGGGUUGAAUGUCUUGUCUAGUAAACUGGUACAAAUCUUGCAGCCUGAUAGCUCCGGACUUAUUUUCUUUUGAAUCCUGAACAUUUUUGCAAUAUACUUUUGUAUCAGAGGUUUCAGUCUGUUUAUCCUUCAUAGUAAUUAUAUACUAGGAAUUAAAAUAACUGAUAUAUCCACUAUAUAUCAUUAUGUCUCUUGUUGACUGAUUGUCAGAACGGGUAAAGUUGGGUUGUUAUGCUAAAAAUAAUAUAGGGAAUAUCAGACUUAUCUUUUUUGUUUUCUUUUUUUUUGGUAUGAUCAUUAGCUUCAUAGCUUAUCUUUCAUCAAAGAAAAUAGGCAACCUGGCAAAGCUAUCUUCCAUCCACCUAGAUAGCUCAGCAUGCACUAAAAAGGUGACCCAUUUCUUAUAUUUUUGCCAAACAGUGUCUAACUUCUUCAAGAUUUAAAUCGGCAUAAUCAAUGUUAGAUCAGUAUCUGUUGAUUGUAACCAUCGUUCGGAUUGUUAUUAAUAUUAGUUGAACUAUGGAAUAAGUUAUGUUAAUCCUUAGGGUGUACAAUAACACAUUUUGGAAUAAACUUUGGAAUUUAUUGUGAACCUAACAUGCUAGUUGAGUUUUGGGAAGUUGUCUUUGCAGUUUAAGGUCUUGUAGUUGACUUAUCAAAGAGGAUAAUUAUAUCCAAAUAUGUUAUUUUUCAAUUGAUUAUUGAAGAAUGGUAUUAUCAUUUUCAAAAUUCACACCUUAACUAAAACCUUUUAAUUUUGUGGUCUUUCCUCAACUACAGGUGCUUGGUUCUGCUGGUGUUAUUGGAAAUCCAAUGGGUUUUGCAAGGAAUGUUGGGCUUGGUAUCAAGGAUUUUUUAUCUUUUUCUGGCAAGGGAGUCUUACAGGUGAGCAACAUUCACAGUGUUCAAGCUUGUUAGAUGGAUGAUUCAUCUCUGUUUCUGAAAAUAUAAUUGACAAUUGUGGCAGAGCCCCAGUGGAUUAUUAACCAGUGUAGCUGAAGGUUCAAGAGGUCUUCUAAGUAGUACAGUAUAUGCCAUAAGUAGCGCUACUAGUCAGUUCAGUAAAGCUGCUCAUAAGGUAAUUUCUGUUACAUGAAUUAAUCAUUUAUACUAUAUCAUCAGGUUGUUUCAGAUUUUGACAUUUGGUUUUUCAGGGAAUAGUUGCAUUUACAUUUGAUCAACAGGCUGCUGCUUAUCUGGAGGAACAGCAGAAUCACCUAGAUUCACAUGGCAAAGGUGUACUGAAUGAAUUCUUGGAGGUAUAAGUUCAUACAAUUACUUCUAACCAAAAGCGCACAAAAGGAUUCCAACUCAGUAUCUUAGGUUACUUGUCUAACAUUUGAGCAGUACCUAUAGACAUGAUAAUUGGUAAAGUAUCUAAUACUAAUCUGUGACCCUACAAAUCUGAAUUCAAUCCUGCUUGUUAAUGAAAUGCUAUUUUUUCUAUGGAUGAACUUCUCUUUUACAUAAAAGGUUUCUUAAAAAGUAAACCAAUUUCUUACCUAAGUGAUGCAUAGUAUGCAUACUCUGUUGCUCUUCAAAGUGAUCUUUUGCGAUAAGGAAAAAUGUGUAGGAAUAUUAUUGUAUUUAUUGCACUAGGAUGAUGAAAUAAAGAUUAGUACUCUCCCCUUGAGGAGAAAGAAAAUUGAAAUGAUGAGAAAACGAAGAAAAGCGAGACAAAAUUACCUCUUUUCUUACUGGUAGAUUUAUCCUUGAAGACUUUAUCAAAGUGAUCUUUUGCGAUAAGGAAAAAUGUGUAGGAAUAUUAUUGUAUUUAUUACACUAGGAUGAUGAAAUAAAGAUUAAAACUCUCCCCUUGGGGAGAAAGAAAAUUGAAACAAUGAGAAAAAGAAGAAACAAGAGACAAAAUUCCCUCUUUUCUUAUUGGUAGAUUUAUCCUUAAAGACUUUAUCAAUAUAAAAGAACUCUGUAUGGUGUUAAUUAAACAACAGUGUAAUGUUUAUUUCGUAUCAGCACAUUUGUUUCUAAUAAGAAGGAUGAUAAAAUGAAACUUAUUUCAACCAAUGUUUGUCUAUUUUCAUACAGGGGCUCACGGGACUUCUUCAAUUCCCAAUUAGAGGUGCUGAAAAGCAUGGCCUACCUGGGGUUGUGUCAGGUAACUUGAUCUUCAAAUAUUGAGUGUGUUUGUGUGGCUUUGUAAGCUCAUUUUUCAUUUACCAUCAUACAGGAAUUGCAUUGGGAACCGCCGGUCUUAUUGCAAGACCAGUGGCUAGCAUCCUUGAAGCCACUGGGAAAACAGCACAAAGUAUCAGAAACAGGAGUCGACCACACCAAUCCUGUCACUUCCGUACACGGUUAUCAAGGCCUUUAGCCAAAGAACUUCCUUUGUCACCAUACUCUUGGGAUGAAGCUAUUGGAGUGUCAUUGCUUCUUCAAGCAGAUAGCUCGAGACUGAAGGAUGAGAUAUUUGUGAUGUGCAAACCACUCACGCAGGCAGGGAGGUUUAUAACUAUCAGCAAGAGGCUGGUUUUGGUUGCAUCGUGCUCUUGCCUUCUGGGUUUGGGCUCACCGGAGUUUGUUGGUGUCCCUCCUGAUCCAGAUUGGGUUAUAGAAACUGAAAUGACUCUGGAGAGUGUCGUUCAUAUUGAUAGGACAGAAGAGACUGUGAAUAUUGUUGGAAGCUGUGCUGAAUCGAUAUACAAGCAGAAAAAGAGUAGUUCUAGGAAUAGACCAUGGAAUUCUUCGACUUCUGCACCUGUUUUUCACUUGAGUGUUGAACUUGCAAACAAGGAAGAAGCAGAAGAUACUUUACAGGUUCUGUUAUCGACAAUUGAAGAAGGGAAAUCCCAGAGGUGGGGGAUGCGCAUUCUACAACGGAACAAUCUCAAGUAAAAGCAUGUACGUUAUUUAAUGAUCUAGCGUCGCAAGAACCACUUCAAUAUACCUAUGUUACCAUAUGGACUGAUUACCUAUUCUCUAACUCUUGCAGGAGUCAUUGGAUCUGAGGGUUUGGGAGAUCCUGGUGGAGCCUAUCUUGGGAGUGUAUAUAUGCACAAAGAGUAAUUUGAGAGAACAUGGUAGUUUCUUUUAUACAGAUUAGACAAUCCAGCGGCCUUAUCUAUUGUACAUUGUGUAAAUCAUCACGGCAUUUUGUGCCCCCUUUUGCGGGUUUGGACUAAAAGGUAAAUAAGAUAAUUUGAAAUGGAAAGCUAAUAUGAUACCUUUGUUUUUCCAUGCCAUAUUUGCAUACUAGGAAAUUUCUAGGAAUUUGUUUUUUGUCAGAAUUAGGUAAGGUGCAGUGUCCAAAAUGAAUAAAUGCCAAUUGUUUUGACUGUGAAUAACUUUAUUCAGGGACAAAUAUAUACCAAUUAUUACACAGCUAAUGCUUCACAUUAGGAUGGUGAAUGGUACUUUGAUCUGAUGGCCACCUAUUUUAAGAUCAAACUUUCUGUUGAUACUGGUUUUUGUAAUUGUGGCAUUUAGUUUAUGUUGAUGCAAGUAGAGGACCAAAUGUUUCAGACAGUGACUUCUAAAUUUGUUUCAGAUACUUGUUGGUAUGUCAGAUGAUUGUCUGUUGACACUCCCCCAGAAAGAACCUGUGUUAUUGUUCGAAUAAAAUUUUAGGAUAAUUCAUUUGGCUAUUCAAUCCAACAUCAUGGCUCGAUGGAGCAACAAUGAUAUUUUAUUAGAUAUGCCAUCACAUCUCCUUGAAGUUAUCCCAACUAAUUUUGGAUUUUCAAAGUUCUUCUCCAUUGACUAGUGGAACUUCUCUUCUGGAAGCAUUUGACUUUAGACCCAUCUAGAUAAUUUAUUAUAUUGCACUUUAGCCUACUAGCAUGUGAUUCAAGAAAGCCAGCUCAUAGAUAAAUCUCAUUGAAAUUUCCAACAAAUCAACUAAAGUGAGAAGAGAAAAGUCUGGAGCUACUAAAUUCCCCUUUUGUCUACAUGUGGAUCAAAAGUCUCGGAUGCAAUGGCCACAAUCUUGGACUUGGUGUAUGGGUAGAUGUUGAAUGAUGAUUAUUAAUAUGUGAAAUCAUCAUUUAGUAUUCGCUUCAAUAUUUUAUUAUCUUGGAUGAGGUUGGCUUGUUCUAAUUUCUGGAUUCCAAUUAAACAUCUACCUACUUGAUGCAAAUUCUGCAAUUCAUUUGAUUGAUCGAACAUAAAGCAUUAAUGAUGAUGCAACUGGAAAGUUACGUAGAGCAACGGUAAGAUUGUUCCUUUACGAUACGCAAGAUGACUACCACUAGGUUUAUUCUCUUGGUAUUUCGUCGUCGAAUCGUAUUACUGCUAUGGUGGAUGUAACACCAGAUUUGUCGUCUUUGCUUCAGUCCAAAGUCCUGAAUGAUGUUGAGAAGCCAAUAAAAUUAUUGGAGUCAUGAAAGUGGCCGUAUGAAUGCAAACUGAUGAGAGCUUAUUCUGGUGGACUGUUGCAUUGGUCAAGUGGCUGAUGCAAAUGCUGUAUCAGCUGAGAAGACGACCAAUUCACUCAUCACCUCAGGCUGAGGCUUUUUCCAAUCCCAUGAGGUGUUGGCUGAUUUCUUCUGACUGCUAUUCUAACUUGUUAUCACAGGUUCAAUGUUCAUGUAGAAGCCCCAAAUCGCCCGGCACUUCUCCCUCACCGACCGCACCAUCUCUCUCUCUCUCUCUCUCUCUCUCUCUAUAUAUAUAUAUAUAUAUAUAUACGUAGCCUUCCCUUUCCCUGCACUCAGCCAUCUGCUUGCAGAGCUUUCCUUCCCUUCAUUAAGGUACUACGACUCACCACAACAUGGUCGCCGGCUGCUGCACCAACGAGGUGACGGUCAACGUCAGCGUCCACAGGAUGUGGAAGGCGGCCGCCUGCGAGGAUCACAUCCUGCUGCCAAAGAUCAUUCCUCAGUACUUCGCUGGCGCAGAGCUCGUCGGCGAUGGCGAAGCUGGCAGCACAAAGACCUUCCACUUCACUCCAGGUUUAGAUUUUGAUGCUGCUUUCCGACAUUCGUGUGCGUGCGAGAAGAGAUCGCAAAACAAGGAUAAAAAAUAAUCUCACAUCGAUAAAAAGAAUCGGAUGAUACAUAUCGAAACCUUUUUGGUUGAAUUGAUGUAUGAUCUGUUAAUUGGAACUAAUUUGGCUAUUGUUGCGAUCCAUCGAACUGCAGCCGCAGAGCCACUGACCUUCGUGAAGGACCAUGUUGAGGUGUUGGACCACGGAAGCCACACGAUGAGGUACAAGGCGAUCGAAGGAGGUCACCUCGGCCGCACGCUCAAGUCGCACGCGUUCGAGGUCAAGUUCGAAGCGGCGGGCGCCGACAGCUGUGUCGUGAAGACCAAGACAGAAUACGAUACGAUCGACGACGCGCCGCUGCCGGAGGACGAGGUGCAGAAGAUGACGGACGUGCCAGUACGGAUGAUGAAGUCGGUGGAAGCCUAUCUGAUAGCCAACCCCGGUGUUUGUGCCUGAGCCCCUGAGCCUCUGAGCCGGUGGGCUUUCGUGUACCGACGUUGGUGCUUCCAGUGUCGUAGUGCUUGUCAUUGGGCGUGGAUCAAUCAAUAAUGAGGUGAUGCAGCAGUGCUGGAAUCAUCACCUUUAGAGUGAGAGAGUGAGAGAGUGAGAGAGAGAUAGGACAUGACAUGUUGAUGCCAUCUCUCUCUUUGUCUGUUCUUUCCAUCUUCUGCAAUGUGGUGUUUUGUGUGGUCGUUGAAGGACAUAUAUCUACAAAUAAGAUGUGAUUUCUUUGGUAUCAUGUAAUCCUUCUUUUUUGGUAUCAUUCUUAGUAGUCUCUUUUAAAGAUUCAAAGACUAGCGUAAUCCAAAUUAAACAUGGAUUUAAUUGAUUUUACUUAAACUAUAUGAUACGUUUAUAAUGUUUGUUCGUAACGAGUCAACCUUCUCGUAAUUUUAUUUACUCUCAUCCAUAAAUAAAUCAGUUACCGAUAAAUGAAUGCAUGAACAAACAAAUCGAUGUCACCUUAGUAAAAUAUACCUUGGGAUUAUAUAACUAAAAUUGAACAAAAUACCUUCUUAGACGACUAAAAUGGAUGCAUUUUGCUGAAAGAUUUUACGAUAAAAAAUUGAAGGUUAAUUCGUCGUCCAUAAAGUUUAAGUACAUAAGUGAUAGGUUCAUCCAUCGUCCAUAAAGUUUAAGUACAUAAGUGAUAAAACUUCAUCCAAUCUUAUGUUUGUUCAAAAUUUAUAUAAUUAAAUUUGAACAAAAUAUCUUACUAAAAUGGAUGCAUUUUGCUUGCUCUGAAAAAAUUUUACGAUAAAAAAUUGAAGGCUAAUCCAUCGUCAAUAAAAUUUAAGUACAUAAGUGAUAACGUAUCUUAGAACUUUCAUCCAAUCUUGUGUCGGUUCAAAAUUAAAUGUUAACAUGACAUGAGAUUUGACGUAAUAGUGAUGUGACCUUAUCUACAAACUCGAUAGAAACAAAUUAAUUCUUCUAUUUUUUAAGAUAAAUACUGGUAAUACGGCAACAUCAAAAAUAUUAUAUCGUACAAUUUGGUUCUUCCUCUUAGUUUCAAACAUGAAGCUCCACAAAGACGGCAAUAAAAUAAAAUUAACGAAGAAAAAUGCAACACGACAUCAACUCAUCGUGAUCUCACUCACCCUAACAAAGAAUAUAAUAAUAAACUACACCGUUGAAUGAACUGUUAAUUCUUUCAUUAAAUGCAUGAAAUACAUUUAUGGUGAAACUUUGUUUCUAACAUACAUACAUACAUACAUACAUACAUACAUACAUAUUUUAAUCUGACUAGCAUAUGCUUGAAGAAUCCGAUCAUUCUCGACUACGGCUGAUGAUGAUAUGGGGCUGCUCAACAAUGAAGACCGCAAAGUCUGCAUGCUUGUGAGCUUUGAAGUCUUCGCUUCAGUCAACAAAUACUAGCUAGUUUGAAUGCUUCCAAGUUUACCAUGACACCCACUUCUUAGAACAUUGAAUUGGGAUGAGGAUGCCAACAAGAGAAGAUGAACCGAUUCAUUGGCAUGGAGCGAUCUUCGCGUCAUCUCAGACCCCCCCCUUUUUCCAAUCUAAUCGAUGAGGUUACCUAAAGUUCAAACUUCAUCUGGAAGCCCGAGAUGACCCGGCACUCCAUCGCCGUCUAUAAAUGGACUCUUCCCCUUCCCUUCACCACCAACCCAUCACAGCCUGCAGAGCUCUCAUCCGGCAAAACACCUUCAUCGACGCCAUGGUUGCCGGGUGCUGCACCGAAGAGCUGACGCUCAAUGUCAGCGUCCACAGAGUAUGGAAGGCGGCCGCCUGCGAGGAUCACAUCCUGCUGCCAAAGAUCAUGCCGCAGUACUUCUCCGGCGCCGAGCUCAUCGGGGAUGGUGAAGCUGGCAGCAC